GAUGAACGCUGGCGGCGUGCCUAAUACAUGCAAGUCGAGCGAACAGGCGAGGAGCUUGCUCCUCUGACGUUAGCGGCGGACGGGUGAGUAACACGUGGAUAACCUACCUAUAAGACUGGGAUAACUUCGGGAAACCGGAGCUAAUACCGGAUAAUAUAUUGAACCGCAUGGUUCAAUAGUGAAAGACGGUUUUGCUGUCACUUAUAGAUGGAUCCGCGCCGCAUUAGCUAGUUGGUAAGGUAACGGCUUACCAAGGCAACGAUGCGUAGCCGACCUGAGAGGGUGAUCGGCCACACUGGAACUGAGACACGGUCCAGACUCCUACGGGAGGCAGCAGUAGGGAAUCUUCCGCAAUGGGCGAAAGCCUGACGGAGCAACGCCGCGUGAGUGAUGAAGGUCCUCGGAUCGUAAAACUCUGUUAUUAGGGAAGAACAAAUGUGUAAGUAACUAUGCACGUCUUGACGGUACCUAAUCAGAAAGCCACGGCUAACUACGUG
Molecule: ribosomal RNA, 497 nt
Filed under: uncultured bacterium
Lineage: Bacteria
Description: partial 16S ribosomal RNA
Rfam family: Bacterial small subunit ribosomal RNA
Source: RNAcentral